GAAACGCGAUAGUUAAUGUGAAUUGCAGAAUUCAGUGAAUCAUCGAGUCUUUGAACGCACAUUGCGCCCCUUGGUAUUCCAUGGGGCAUGCCUGUUCGAGCGUCAUUUGUACCCUCAAGCUCUGCUUGGUGUUGGGUGUUUGUCCCCGUCUCCGCGCGUGGACUCGCCCCAAAGUGAUUGGCAGCCGGCGUACUGGUCCCGGAGCGCAGCACAUGUCGCGCAAACGAGUGCCUUGGUACGGCGGCGUCCAUAAGCCCCUCUCUCACGCUCUUGACCUCGGAUCAGGUAGGGAUACCCGCUGAACUUAAGC
Molecule: unclassified non-coding RNA, 310 nt
Filed under: plant metagenome
Description: partial contains 5.8S ribosomal RNA, internal transcribed spacer 2, and large subunit ribosomal RNA
Rfam family: 5.8S ribosomal RNA (bases 1-105)
Source: RNAcentral